CAGUCGCCGCGGGAAUACGGAGGGUGCAAGCGUUAAUCGGAAUUACUGGGCGUAAAGCGCACGCAGGCGGUUUGUUAAGUCAGAUGUGAAAUCCCCGAGCUUAACUUGGGAACUGCAUUUGAAACUGGCAAGCUAGAGUCUUGUAGAGGGGGGUAGAAUUCCAGGUGUAGCGGUGAAAUGCGUAGAGAUCUGGAGGAAUACCGGUGGCGAAGGCGGCCCCCUGGACAAAGACUGACGCUCAGGUGCGAAAGCGUGGGGAGCAAACAGGAUUAGAGACCCGAGUAGUCCCUGUCUCUUAUAC
This 301-nucleotide ribosomal RNA is filed under the name uncultured bacterium. Its description in RNAcentral is "partial 16S ribosomal RNA". It matches the Rfam family "Bacterial small subunit ribosomal RNA", at positions 509 to 807 of the family's 1533-position model. The record is from RNAcentral.